GACGAACGCUGGCGGCGUGCUUAACACAUGCAAGUCGAACGGACAGACAGAGAGCUUGCUCUCUUGAAGUUAGUGGCGAACGGGUGAGUAACGCGUAAUCAACCUGCCCUUCAGAGGGGGAUAACAACGGGAAACCCUUGCUAAUACCGCGUACGAUUCAUGAACGGCAUCGUUUAUGAAUGAAAGGUGGCCUCUAUGUAUAAGCUAUCGCUGAAGGAGGGGAUUGCGUCUGAUUAGCUAGUUGGAGGGGUAACCGCCCACCAAGGCAAAGAUAAGUAGCCCGUCUGAGAGGAUGAACUGCCACAUUGGGACUGAGACACGGCCCAGACUCCUACGGGAGGCAGCAGUGGGGAAUCGUCCGCAAUGGACGAAAGUCUGACGGAGCAACGCCGCGUGAGUGAUGAAGGUCUUCGGAUUGUAAAGCUCUGUUAAUCGGGACGAAAGAGUUCUGCGUGAAUAAUGCAGAAAAGUGACGGUACCGGAAUAGAAAGCCACGGCUAACUACGUGCCAGCCGCCGCGGUAA
Molecule: ribosomal RNA, 524 nt
Filed under: uncultured bacterium
Lineage: Bacteria
Description: partial 16S ribosomal RNA
Rfam family: Bacterial small subunit ribosomal RNA
Source: RNAcentral